RNAcentral lists this ribosomal RNA (792 nucleotides) under Agaricales sp. TF11MSC. Its description in RNAcentral is "LSU rRNA". It matches the Rfam family "Eukaryotic large subunit ribosomal RNA", at positions 112 to 889 of the family's 3401-position model. Lineage: Eukaryota; Fungi; Basidiomycota; Agaricomycetes; Agaricales. The record is from RNAcentral.
AAUUUAAAAUCUGGCAGUCUAUGGCUGUCCGAGUUGUAAUCUAGAGAAGUAAUGCCCGCACUGGACCGUGUACAAGUCUCCUGGGAUGGAGCGUCAUAGAGGGUGAGAAUCCCGUCUCUGACACGGACUACCAGGGUUUUGUGGUAUGCUCUCAAAGAGUCGAGUUGUUUGGGAAUGCAGCUCAAAAUGGGUGGUAAAUUCCAUCUAAAGCUAAAUAUUGGCGAGAGACCGAUAGCGAACAAGUACCGUGAGGGAAAGAUGAAAAGAACUUUGGAAAGAGAGUUAAACAGUACGUGAAAUUGCUGAAAGGGAAACACUUGAAGUCAGUCACGUUGGCCAGGAAUCAGCCUUGCAUCUUUGCCUGGUGUAUUUUCUGGUUGAUGGGUCAGCAUCAAUUUUGACUGCUGGAAAAAGGCUUGAGGAAUGUGGCAGCUCUGGCUGUGUUAUAGCUUCAUGUCACAUACAGCAGUUGGGAUUGAGGAAUUCAGCAUGCCGCAAGGCCGGGUUUAGACCACGUUCAUGCUUAGGAUGCUGGCAUAAUGGCUUUAAGUGACCCGUCUUGAAACACGGACCAAGGAGUCUAACAUGCCUGCAAGUGUUUGGGUGGAAAACCCAAGCGCRCAAUGAAAGUGAAAGUUGAGAUCCCUGUCAUGGGGAGCAUUGACGCCCAGACCAGAACUUUUGGGACGGAUCUGCGGUAGAGCAUGUAUGUUGGGACCCGAAAGAUGGUGAACUAUGCCUGAAUAGGGUGAAGCCAGAGGAAACUCUGGUGGAGGCUCGUAGCGAUUCUGA